Molecule: long non-coding RNA, 580 nt
Filed under: Ictidomys tridecemlineatus (thirteen-lined ground squirrel)
Lineage: Eukaryota; Metazoa; Chordata; Mammalia; Rodentia; Sciuridae
Description: lncRNA (ENSSTOG00000034041.1)
Source: RNAcentral
AACCAACAGGCAUCUCCAAUGACCACAGAAGUCUGCGAGCCCCCCCCCCACCUGCCAGCUCAAUGUUCAAGGGGCUCCUCGUCUCAGGUGCAUGCUCACGGGCCUGCCACAUGCUCGCUGGGACACUGGCUCAGCAUCUCACUGGCCCUGCUGGGAUGCUGUUUCUUUCUGCCAUCACCCAGGAGUCCAUGUGGAAGAAGGGCUGCACCUGUGGUAUACAGGGUGGCAUGGAAGGUCCUGGCUGGCAUGCACUCACAGGUCAGCAGCAGCUCUGGGGAGAGGACUUGGAGACUUCGCCUAUCCUACCCUGUCUCUCAGCAGUCCUUCCAGACCAACCACUCUUGCUCUUACAUAGAGGCCAAAGGAGCAGCCAGAGCACAUCUUAAGGAAAGGAAUGGGCCCAUCUGCCUUCAGAAGCUGACUGAAGCCCAGCUGGACCUAGGGAGAAUUGACACCUAAGGAGCUCUCGAUGGCGUCACCCACCACCUGCAUUCACCUAGGCGUGCAGAUGUUCCUGUUUGCAAUGGACCAUGCGCUACACAGAUGGCCAUGAGGAAUUCAGCCAACACCACAGGAAUUU